This 1493-nucleotide ribosomal RNA is filed under the name metagenome. RNAcentral's name for it is "bacterial LSU rRNA". It matches the Rfam family "Bacterial large subunit ribosomal RNA", at positions 1433 to 2910 of the family's 2925-position model. The record is from RNAcentral.
AGCGCGCGACCCUAGCGAGUAGUAGGUAAGCAAUGGAGAGACGCAGGAAGGUAGCCGAACCGCGGCGAUGGUUGUUCCGCGGGUAAGGGUGUAGGGCGAGGUGUAGGCAAAUCCGCACCUCAUGUGCCUGAGACCUGACACGGACCCGUAAGGGGAAGUCGGUGAUCCUAUGCCGCCAAGAAAAUCUUCUAGCGAGGUUCUAGCCGCCCGUACCCCAAACCGACUCAGGUGGUUAGGUAGAGAAUACCAAGGCGAUCGAGUGAAUCGUGGUUAAGGAAUUCGGCAAAAUACCCCCGUAACUUCGGGAGAAGGGGGGCCCAGAGGGUGACGGGACUUGCUCCCCGAGCCUGAACGGCCGCAGAGACCAGGGAGAAGCGACUGUUUACUAAAAACACAGGUCCGUGCCAAGUCGCAAGACGAUGUAUACGGACUGACGCCUGCCCGGUGCUGGAACGUUAAGGGGACCGGUUAGCCUCACGGCGAAGCUGAGAACUUAAGCGCCAGUAAACGGCGGUGGUAACUAUAACCAUCCUAAGGUAGCGAAAUUCCUUGUCGGGUAAGUUCCGACCUGCACGAAUGGCGUAACGACUUCUCCACUGUCUCAACCACGAACUCGGCGAAAUUGCACUACGAGUAAAGAUGCUCGUUACGCGCAGAAGGACGGAAAGACCCCGGGACCUUUACUACAGCUUGGUAUUGGUGUUCGGUACGGCUUGUGUAGGAUAGGUGGGAGACUGUGAAGCUGACACGCCAGUGUCGGUGGAGUCAACGUUGAAAUACCACUCUGGUCGUUCUGGAUAUCUAACCUAGGUCCGUAAUCCGGAUCAGGGACAGUGCCUGGUGGGUAGUUUAACUGGGGCGGUUGCCUCCUAAAAGGUAACGGAGGCGCCCAAAAGGUUCCCUCAGCCUGGUUGGCAAUCAGGUUUCGAGUGUAAGUGCACAAGGGAGCUUGACUGUGAGACUGACAAGUCGAACAGGGACGAAAGUCGGGACUAGUGAUCCGGCGGUGGCUUGUGGAAGCGCCGUCGCUCAACGGAUAAAAGGUACCCCGGGGAUAACAGGCUGAUCUUGCCCAAGAGUCCAUAUCGACGGCAUGGUUUGGCACCUCGAUGUCGGCUCGUCGCAUCCUGGGGCUGGAGUAGGUCCCAAGGGUUGGGCUGUUCGCCCAUUAAAGCGGUACGCGAGCUGGGUUUAGAACGUCGUGAGACAGUUCGGUCCCUAUCCUCUGCGCGCGCAGGAAACUUGAUAAGGGCUGUCCCUAGUACGAGAGGACCGGGAUGGACGAACCUCUGGUGUGUCAGUUGUUCUGCCAAGAGCACCGCUGAUUAGCUACGUUCGGGAGUGAUAACCGCUGAAAGCAUCUAAGCGGGAAGCAUGCUUCAAGAUGAGGUUUCCAUGGGGUUUACCCCGAGAGGCUCCCAGCUAGACUACUGGGUUGAUAGGCCGGAUGUGGAAGUGCGGUAACGCAUGGAGCUGACCGGUACUAAUAAGCC